CCUACGGGUGGCAGCAGUGAGGAAUAUUGGUCAAUGGCCGUAAGGCUGAACCAGCCAAGUAGCGUGAAGGAAGACUGCCCUAUGGGUUGUAAACCUCUUUUAUACGGGAAUAAAGGUUUCCACGUGUGGAUGUUUGCAGGUACCGUAUGAAUAAGGACCGGCUAAUUCCGUGCCAGCAGCCGCGGUAAUACGGAGGGUCCGGGCGUUAUCCGGAUUUAUUGGGUUUAAAGGGAGCGUAGGCGGGUCGUUAAGCGAGUCGUGAAAGUUUGUGGCUCAACCAUAAGAGUGCGGUUGAAACUGGCAGUCUUGAGUACAGGAGAGGUAGGCGGAAUUCGUGGUGUAGCGGUGAAAUGCUUAGAUAUCACGAAGAACUCCGAUUGCGAAGGCAGCUUGCUGGACCGCUACUGACACUGAGGCUCGAAAGUGUGGGUAUCAAACAGGAUUAGAUACCCCAGUAGUC
Molecule: ribosomal RNA, 460 nt
Filed under: uncultured bacterium
Lineage: Bacteria
Description: partial 16S ribosomal RNA
Rfam family: Bacterial small subunit ribosomal RNA
Source: RNAcentral